CCAGCCGGGUCAGUGAGGUGUUUUGUAUUGCUAAUAAAUACUGCACUUGUCCCGGCCUGGCA
This 62-nucleotide microRNA precursor is filed under the name Xenoturbella bocki. RNAcentral describes it as "Xbo-Mir-92-o87_pre stem-loop". The record is from RNAcentral. Lineage: Eukaryota; Metazoa; Xenacoelomorpha; Xenoturbellidae.